Molecule: unclassified non-coding RNA, 3435 nt
Filed under: Hevea brasiliensis (rubber tree)
Lineage: Eukaryota; Viridiplantae; Streptophyta; Magnoliopsida; Malpighiales; Euphorbiaceae
Source: RNAcentral
CAUGGAUUCAUAUAUCUUCUUGUUCUGGUGAUCUUCCCUUGCUCUUGCUGGGAAAGACCAUGACUUUCCUUGCCCUUUGUCAUCCCAAAUCAACCACCUAAAUAAAAGAAAUUGAAAGCAUUCAAGACCCAGAUAAACAUCAUGGCAAUUAAAGAUUUUCAAGAACCAUAAUCAAGAACAUAUAAAUGAAGUAUAGAACAAGUUUCAAGUACUUCAAAACUUUGAGGUUGAUUAGGUGAGACUGGAAAUCAAAGUAAGAAGAACAUAAUAGUAACUGGGUUUGGUAUCAAAUGGACAAGUUGAUGUUGUGAGGCAGAGAAUAUUCGCAUAGAGACAAUGGAAAGCUUUUCCCUUUCUCAAAGGGGAAGCAAACUAAUCGUUCGGGGAUGUUUACAAGUUGGACAGAGAUGAGGAGAGAGUCGGCAACUCUGAAUACGCGUUGGCAGCGUGCGGCUUGCGUGGGCUAAAUCGAAACUCGCAGCCCUGGUGAUACCCAAAUCUCCAACGCUGGUCAAGAGGCAGAUAUAAAAUAUGCGCAACAAGAAGACGAAGACAGCAAGAACAAAAGAAGGUGGUGCUUUCCUUGAAGAGACCAUGUUCAAUUUAAACCUAUGAACCAUUAAUUAAGGCCAAUCCCAAAUUUGAUCAGAUCAAACUCCAUCUGAUUCAAGGCCUGAACCGGCCCUGCCGAUGUCCAAGUUGGAACAACCAUAUAUUUUCUUUGUCUUUCAAUUGGGCUCCAUAUUCUACUGGAUCUGGCCCAUAUAAGAAAAACCCAUUGAGCCCAAAACGAUUAAACAUCAUGUCUCUCCAGCAUCUGUGCUGCUGCACACUGUCACAAGAGAUUGAUUGGCAUAGAAGAUAGAAGGCUGUGUCUUCUGUUUUGUCAAUCAAAAUUUUAUCUUAACCAAGAUGAUGGCGCUAUUUGAAGCACCGCCAUUCUUUAACUGCAACCACCCACUCUUCUCCUCCCGAAACAGUUUAACCGCCGUCACUUCUUGCUCUGCUUCAAGUCUUCCUCCUUCAUCAUCUCCCAAAAUCCCGGAAGGGGAAACCACUGACCCCAAUUCACUUAAUAUUGCACCUGACAGGUCCAGGGAUCGCCGGAAGGUUGUUCGACUGGCCUGGGAGAAGCUGGUCCGCUGGUCCCGCUCUUGGCGCUCUAAGAACGGGACUGACGUCCUCCAAGACACAAACAAGGUGGUGGUGCUUGGAGGAGGAUCCUUUGGUACGGCAAUGGCUGCCCAUGUUGCUAAUAGAAAGGCUCAUUUGGAGGUUCACAUGCUUCUACGUGAUCCUUUAGUCUGUCAAUCGAUCAAUGACGACCACUGUAAUUGCAAAUACUUCCCAGAACACAAGUUACCAGACAAUGUCAUCGCCACCACUGAUCCUAAAACUGCUUUGCUUGGUGCAGACUACUGCCUUCACGCUGUACCUGUUCAGGUCCUUUGGUUCCUUCCCCUUUGCUCUCCUCGUGUCAAUUUUGUACUGGAAAAACUUGCAUAUAAAGAUCAUUCAAACAUUAUAAGACAUGGCAACUUAUAUGCCUAUAUCAUUCUAAAUUGUAAUUAUUUAAAAUUUUAAUGCAGUUCAGCUCAUCAUUUCUUGAGGGCAUUUCAAAAUUUGUUGAUCCAGGCUUGCCUUUUAUAUCCCUUAGCAAAGGCUUGGAGCUCAAUACAUUGAGGAUGAUGUCUCAGAUUAUUCCUCAAGCACUGAAGAAUCCUCGCCAGCCUUUUGUUGCAUUAUCUGGACCUUCUUUUGCCCUGGAAUUGAUGAAUAAGUUACCAACAGCAAUGGUGGUGGCAUCCAAGGACAAAAAGUUGGCAAAUGCUACUCAACAGCUACUAGCCUCUUCUCAUUUAAGAAUAAGCACUUCAAGGGGUGGAGAUUGCAGGUGCUCUAAAAAAUGUGCUUGCCAUAGCAGCUGGGAUUGUGGAAGGAAUGAAUCUGGGUAAUAAUUCGAUGGCAGCUCUUGUUGCACAAGGUUGUUCUGAGAUCCGAUGGCUGGCUACAAAGGUGUUCUCUUUGUUCCUUGCUCAUUAAUAAUCCAUUUAUUGCGCAAAUAUUAACUUUACUGUUUUUGUCCUUUUUGGCUGGACAAAGGGUAAUUCAUUCUUUAUUAUAGGACACUUUUGGGAACAUUAACGUUUCUGUUAACUUCUAGUUUGAUGGUAAUACCUGGAUGGAGCAAACAGAAGCUAUCUCUUAAUGAUGGUUGUCAAUUGCUGUUGCUCCAAUCCCAUUGGUUGAGGAAGAAAAAGGUGAAUUCUAGCUGUGGAAGACAUUUUGUGAAGUUGUAGGUUUUGUACAAGUGCCUAGAUUUUAGAAAUAAUAAAUAAUUGGCAUUGCAUAUGGUUAAUACUGUAGCAUAACGGUGUGCUCUCUUGUUAGCAUUAGACUACAAUGACAAUCUGAUUCCCAUGGUCUAUCGUGGAAAAGAGAUCAUAUAUGUUUUAAUGUUAUUCUGUCAUGCACAUGGAAUAGAAGUGAAAGGCUCAUAAAUCAUAAUCCUAUGGACCACCUUGAUAAUAUGGAAGGGCUUUCACAUUAACUACGAGGUGAUACUUGGUCUUAUUUGUUUUCUUGCUAUAAAAAGUGAUAGAGUUGAUGAGAUUUUCUCUAUAUUGAGGAGAUUAUUAAGGAGAUAAUUUAAGGAGAAGAUUACUCCUUAAUUUAGGAAUGAUUUAUGUCCAUAAGUCAAAGGAUUUUAGGAGUAAUAUAUGGUUUUAUACCUUCUAUCUUUCAUUAUAAAUGCUUAUGUAUUAUGUAAAGUGUGUGAUGCGAAUGAAAAAUGUAGUCUUUAUACCCUUUGUGUUCUUUCUCACUUCCUUCCUCUUUUUCUUCUUAUUAUCUUUCUUUCUAAAAACUUAACAAAAAGAACAACAACAUGAUCUGAAUUUCUUAUUCUGCCUAUGUUUGCAUCAGCUAGCCCAUUUGUGGCAUAAGCUCUGUCAAUUUGUUAAUCAGCAUCUUCACGAGUAUCAACUUUAUAGAAUAACUAGGCUUUUGCCUGCGCCUUGCGCGGGUGUGUUCAUCAUCAAUAUAUUAUAUAACUAAGUAAAGAUGUUUCUUAUAUUUGUAUUUAAAUUAUUUGAAAUGUUUUAAGAAAUUUUUGUAAAAGCAACCAGGAAAAUAUAAAAAAAUAAAUACGAAUAAUUAUUAUAAAUUAAAAAUGAAAAUAAAGAAUAAAGAUAAAAUACCAAUAAAAUGUAUGUAAAUAAAUUCUUAUAAGAUGAAGAUUGUACUAGGUCGUGUAAAUUUUUUAUUUUUAAUGCCUUGGUUACUAAAAAACAUCUGGUAGGCUUGAGAGAAAAUAUUGGUUGGACAUUGUAUUUUUUAUUUAUAUUAGGAGGUGACUAGUUUGAUUUUUGAUAUGUGAUAUUGGUUUAUAUAAUUUAUGACUAUAACUCAUAGUUUUCCUAGUAUUAAUUAAAU